AGAUGUGAGGGCGAUAUGGCUCUGACAUCUCUUACCUCAUUGAUCUCCAGGUUUGAUUUGGCUGAUUUGGCUAGCUAGGCAGGUGUCCCCUUCCUCUCUCACUACUCCAUGUGCAUCCCUUUUGAAGCUGCAUAGGAGGACCAUUUUUUGGUCAAGGGUAUAUGACUAGCUGCAGUCCUCUGCUAGAACCUCCAAACAAGCUCCCAAGGUUUAAGGUUUUAUAUAUAUAUAAGACUGGCUACAAAAUCUUUCACAGAUAAAAGUAUACCCCAUGAGUGUGCACAACAGAUCCCCCUUUUCAUG
This is an unclassified non-coding RNA of Homo sapiens (human), 303 nucleotides long. NCBI's taxonomy places the organism in Eukaryota, Metazoa, Chordata, Mammalia, Primates, Hominidae. The record is from Ensembl.